UAACACGUCGCAAUCAACACUAUCGUUAUUUGCAUACUCGAGAUCCGAGCGCAAUUUUUGCGCGAUAGUUUCAUCAGUGAGUGACUAGCGAACGGAUCGUUGAUCGACCUAUCGAACGAGUCUCAGCGGAGAAUCGAAUUCGAAGCAUUUGGAUCGGAACGAUCGAUCUGCUUGAUUAAUCCACGGUUGUUCAUGAUCAACUUUUUUCUGGAACGUCUCGAUCAGCCGCGAAAUUGGAUAUUUCAGCAACUAAACGAAGGGAAGAGAUCGUGUUUCGGAAAACGGAAAAGUAGACAUUGGUUUUCAGCGCCUGGAAUACACGCCAAUCGUGGCGAUAGACGUGUAAACUGUGCGUAAUUAAUCAAUCGUCGAUUAAGUCUGCGUUGCAAAGGUUAAGGACGAUUAAUCGCAUACACGCUGUGACGCGCUUAUCGCGUAUUUUACGUCGACCCUCUUGAAACAAUGUCACGGCCGAACGAGGCAGGCUAACGAGGAAAAAAUCUGUCGCUGAUCGGGGCCGUUGCCAAUUAGUUCUCUUUACAAUUCACGAUAAUAAACUGGAAUAUUAAACAAAUCGCAGAGAAACUAAACAGAGAAAACGAGAAACAGAAAUAACGCGACAAAAGAAACUGUGUCAUAUAUAUGCUAAUGCAAAAGACGAAGAUUAAAAUAGCCGAUUUUUCGUAUCCAAUUCACCCUAUGAUCUCUGAUCUAAGAUCGCCUUAUGAUGCUCUCUCAUGCAUACGCUCGUUUGUCUCGCGCAAACGUGUACCAGCGACAGAAUAAAUCACGCCAGGCUCUUGCCAGGCUACGAGUCAGAUAACCAAAUAAGUUCCUCAGCUUUAUCGCGAAUCCCGGACAAAUCGUCGAAAUUUGGCACGACCAGAGGCAGCGGCCGCGAUCGUGAGUGGAUACGAGAAGCUAAAUGGAGCGGUAAAAGUGACCAGCGUCGGCCGAUAGCGUGCGUCCGCGCGUAAGCACGUAAUGGCUUCGAGAAUGGAACGAGGAGAAGGAAGAGGAACGGGUCGUUAAUAGCAAGACUGAGUGUAGGCCGCACGCAACGGCGAACAGGUCGUUCUCUGGAUACCGCAAAUUGCUUUGUUAUAUCUAUCUUGAAUAUAUGCAUGAAGGAUCAUAGGGAGGACGACGAGACGAAGAUUUUUUCCCUGAUAAUCGAGAAACGCUCGAGGAAAUAGUAUAAACGCAGCCGGCCAAGACGAAAAGAGAGAAGGGAAAAAGACGAAGGGAGAAAAAGGGAACGAGUGGAAACGGUUGGUUGGUGGAGAAAGAGAAGAAAGGGAAGAUCAGGCAACAAAGGACGCGGAAUGGCUAGGAAAGUGUAUGUAGACGGCGCGGCGGAAAGAAGAAUGGUGCACGAAAACGACGGCAGGAUGAAUGUCCUUGUGGUCGAGCUGCGAUGGUACAGUCAUUAGAAUGUAUUGUGGCUCAACGGUUUGACACGCUCCCUUUUGCGACGCGCCGCUCCACAUACCUCCGGUUCUCGUUCUCCAGAAAGUUUAUCUCCGCCAAGACCUUUUCACUUUUACGCAGUGGCAGAUGCACAGAAUUGCGCGCCUGAUGCAUAUAAACCGGUCAUUCUAAUAUACUAAAUAAUAGGUAGCAGAGCGCUAUACUUUUGUUGAUCUUUUGUGGACCGUGGCUCGGUCAGCUCUGCUGUAAAGUGCUGAGAAUGCGUAGAUGGUAAAGGCACUCGUAGAUAGCAGAAGCAGACUAUCAGACUAUUUUGUAAAUUUUAUAGCUAUUAUCAUAAAUUAUUAUAAUCUUGGGUAAUGAUAUAACGGAAUCGUAGAAUCAAUCGAGGAAAUUAAUUCCUUAACAAUGGAAGUACUAUUAGAUUGUCCGAAAAGUUUCUUUCGUUUUAGGAAAUAUCA
Bombus terrestris (buff-tailed bumblebee) is the source of this 1892-nucleotide long non-coding RNA. RefSeq lists it as uncharacterized. NCBI's taxonomy places the organism in Eukaryota, Metazoa, Arthropoda, Insecta, Hymenoptera, Apidae. The transcript has 3 exons. The record is from RefSeq and is a predicted model, not a curated record.